Molecule: ribosomal RNA, 322 nt
Filed under: uncultured eukaryote
Lineage: Eukaryota
Description: partial 18S ribosomal RNA
Rfam family: Eukaryotic small subunit ribosomal RNA
Source: RNAcentral
CCCUUAGAUGUUCUGGGCCGCACGCGUGCUACACUGAGUAAUUCAAUGGGUAAGGGAACGCUAGAGCAUUACCUAAUCCUGAAAUUUGCUCGUGAUGGGGAUCGACGGUUGCAAUUUUCCGUCGUGAACGAGGAAUACCUUGUAGGCGCAUGUCAUCAUCAUGCGCCGAAUACGUCCCUGCCCUUUGUACACACCGCCCGUCGCUCCUACCGAUUGAGUGAUCCGGUGAGGCUCUGGGACCUGGACGGAAAGAGCGUUUCGCUUGUUCUGUUUGGGAAACUUGGUCGAACCUUAUCAUUUAGAGGAAGGAGAAGUCGUAACA